This 37-nucleotide transfer RNA is filed under the name Citrus sinensis (sweet orange). Its description in RNAcentral is "tRNA-Lys". The record is from RNAcentral. RNAcentral also lists the same sequence under 458 other names. Lineage: Eukaryota; Viridiplantae; Streptophyta; Magnoliopsida; Sapindales; Rutaceae.
GGGUUGCUAACUCAACGGUAGAGUACUCGGCUUUUAA